GAAAUGCGAUAAGUAAUGUGAAUUGCAGAAUUCCGUGAAUCGUCGAAUCUUUGAACGCACAUUGCGCCCUCUGGCAUUCCGGGGGGCAUGCCUGUCCGAGCGUCAUUACGCACCCUCAAGCCCGGCUUGUGUGAUGGGCCCCGGCGUCUCGUUCGCGAGACGGGCCCGAAAGGCAGCGGCGGCGUCGACCCGAUGAGCCCGAGCGUAUGGGGACUUCUGUCACACGUUCGCGGUGCGGACCGGCGCCUGCUUUGACUUUUCUGAUUAUCCAGGUUGACCUCGGAUCAGGUAGGGAUACCCGCUGAACUUAAGC
RNAcentral lists this unclassified non-coding RNA (313 nucleotides) under plant metagenome. RNAcentral's name for it is "partial contains 5.8S ribosomal RNA, internal transcribed spacer 2, and large subunit ribosomal RNA". The stretch from base 1 to 105 matches the Rfam family "5.8S ribosomal RNA", at positions 50 to 154 of the family's 154-position model. The record is from RNAcentral.